Molecule: long non-coding RNA, 3430 nt
Organism: Neogale vison (American mink)
Lineage: Eukaryota; Metazoa; Chordata; Mammalia; Carnivora; Mustelidae
Exons: 8
Source: RefSeq, a predicted model, not a curated record
CCUGGCAGGGAGGAGGCACGGGUUCAUUGCAGGGGAAAGAACUCGAGCUUGGUGCAGGAGGAAAAAUGAGAACUUUUCUCCUUCCGUUCAAGAGCUGCCCGUGCACCAUGAAACAAAGUAUCUGACUGGGACUUUUUGUUAUUUUACAUCAGGUAAAGCCGCUUUAAGGCAACACCGUUUCCUGCGUCCUUUGUGUUCCCUGUCCUGUGGUCUGGAGACAAAGCUGGGGAACAAGACUCAGCUGACCUCUGACAUUCUGGAGCGACCCUUGAGUAGGGGAGAUGAACGGAUGGCACGCGAGGGACCAAACAGAGAGAGGGUCACACGUGUCCUCAAUGGAUUGGAAGACGCCUACUGCAUUGGUGAAGGUGAUCUUCUUUACUCAUCUACUGGUUCAGAUGCGAAUCUCUUCCAGAAACACUCUCACAGACACAUCCAGGCGUAUGUUUUACCAGCAGUCUGGGCAUCUCUUAGCCCAGUCAAGUUGACACAUGAGAAUAACGGGCACACCCAAGAUGGAAUGAAAUGAAGUGGCCCAAACGCCAUGACCAGAAGGGAUGCAGGAAGUCAAAGAUGAUGGAAAAUCUGCAGAUAGCCAUCUCUUCCUGAACGACUGAAUUUGGUUCAACUGAUUAACACCCUUAGGAUGGGAUUCAUUUUUGUAGAAUGGAUUCGUGACAAGGAUUUUCUAUAAAGAUAGAUUUUUUUUCCAGAGAAACAAAUUUGAACACUUUAGUCCAAGAAUUUAAAUGAGGAAAAAUAAUCCUACUUAAAAGGCAAAUUGACCAAUAUCCUUCCUUUUUUCUCUUAUUAAUAAAAGAGUUUACACGGAAACUCUGUAAGAAAUUGUGUAAGAGAUUCACAAGGAUCAUUAAAGUCUCUAUGAGACAUUCACUUUCACUUUGUAAAAUUGGCUAUACCCUCAAAAUGGUAUCCCAUAAAAAUGGACUUUCUGGGGCUCUUAUAUAUAUGAAUGGGUUUUAGUCACACAGUGGUGCCAUUCAUUUUAUUUGGCCCAUUUAUUGCAAGUACAUUCUAAAUUUGGCCUUAAUUAUUUUUCCUUUCACAAAAAUAUUUUGUGGGCUCUUUUUGAACCCCUACUACUUCCUUCUUGCCCCUUAAGACAGAAUCCAGGAGUGUUACUUUUGUUCUCUUCUAAUUAAAAUAAUUGCUUGGUUCCUUUUAACUAGAUUCGUUCAGUUAUUAGCCUAAUACAUGGAUGGGUGCCAUGGGGUGCUUGAGAAACAAAAUGAAAAGUGAUCGUGUAGCUUCACAUGAAAAAGAUUGUGCAGUGCCAAGGAGCAUUACUCCUUUCAGCGGGCAUUUUAUAACGGCCUUUAGUAAACCUGGCCUCCCCCUGCCCCCAUACCCUCACUAAAAGACUAUUAAGUGAAAGAAUGGUUCUAUUUUCUCCAUUAGGUAGACAGUGAACUCACUACAAUUUGAAGAGGGGCACUUGAUAUGCUGGGUAUGGCCCAAAGACUGGGAGGCUGGUUUUAAUCUCUGCCCCAGCUUUGUCUUUCAGAAUAACUGCAAUUGAAGGAUAAAUGCUCCGUGUCCUCUCUUUGCCAGUUGGCGUUUAUCAGAAGGCACUGGAAGAAGAGGGACAAAGGUGCCUGGAUAAAAAGUGUGCUGACUCUUGAUACAGUCCGUCCAAUACACUGAAUAUUUAUGAAUGCACUACUCCCUGCUGAGAAAGGUUUGUCUAUGAGCCUAAGUCUACGAUUCUCUGAAGAAAUAUGCCCGUGAAGUUGCCUGAUAAAAAAGCAAACCUCCCAGAGUCUUCCAUUGGAGAAUUGUCACCUGCAAAGACCUCUGAGAGGGAAGGGAGAAGGUUGGAAAUGGAGCGGUACGGAGAUGAAACAGGGGCGGCAGACAAAAACGUCGACACAGUGGCCAUCAUCUCAAAGACACUGGGGGAUAAGGUGGCAAGUACUGAACAGAAACACUAAGAACUGAAGAGAAGCACUGGAUAGGAUGGUUCCUGAAAGCCCCCUCAAGCCUCGGCUUCCCUAACUGAUAAGCUGUUCUGGAACAAUUCUGCUUGACAUGGUGCCCCGGCAGGAUGCUCUCCAGGAAGAUUCCUGUGAGCCUGACUCAGAAGAGCAGCAGUCUGUCCGUGAACCUGGCGAAGAAUUUGAUCUCGAGAAUCAAUACCCUCGAGAAUUUGAUCUUCCUUCCGCAAGAGCUUUGAUGGCCACGUUUUCCUCUUCUCUGACUUCUUACCAGCUUUUCAAAUGGUGGAUUUAGAAAAACUAGAGUUAUUCUAGCAUUGAUUAUGUGAUCUCAUAUUCUUACAGUAGUUUUCCUCCAGAUGAAUAUUGGGAAGAGUUUGGUAGCAAGCUAUAUGGUGAGGCAGGAGACUGGAAUGAAAGUCCAAAGGUGUUGUAAACUGGGGCAGGUUGCUUCAUCUCUCUGACACUUUGUUUCAUCAGCUCUAGAUUAGAAUGUGGAUUAAAAUGUUUCUAACUACCAAAGUCUAUAAAUCCUGAAAGCUGUGCUCCAGAGGAGAAAACACACACGGGCAAAUGUAUAUUUAUUCACUCUUUCGCCAUGCUUUUGUAGACUGGUUCCAGAGAGUUCUGAAUUCACCUAGUAAUAACAUUAUCUUAAUUUGGUAUUGAAGACAUAGUUCCAAUAACUUAACCCGUAAGACUUGUACACUGGCUGACUUCCAUCCUUUCCCUAAUAUAAAGUAGGUUAAUUAAUCCAGGCAAUUACUGUCAAGCAAAGAAGCAAGGUUGGACAUUCUCUGAGAAAUUUGGUGGUUGUACAUCUGAUAUGGCUAAUUUGCAAGACCUCGGAUGGAACAUUUUAAUUAAUUAUUUCAGUUAUUAUUAUAUUUAGAUAGUGCUGGAUGGGUAGAAAUCUAUUAAAAUGAUAAAGUUUGGGUCAAUUUACCAACGAAAAGGAUGAACAUCCUUCUGCCUUUUCUUUUUUCUCUCUAGAACCAUAGUGAUUAGAGAAAUUAUAUCACGAUAUUGGGCAAAUAAAUUAGUCAAUCCCAGCCCAAAAGUAGUUUAUGAGCAAACCAUUAGAACCCUUUCCCAGUCAAAUGGAGGCCUAUUGAGAAGCAGUAUGUAAAUAGAGCAAAGCUUAUGAAAUGAAAUUGACAGGAUAGAAAAUUUUCAUAGACACAACCCGCCAACAAGGACUUUUCUUACACAUGUCUCCAUUACCUUGAUAAGAUUGGGAGGUGGCCAGUGGCUCUAUAAAUUUAAAGCAAAAAGUGGCAAUUAGGUCCUCAGGGUACAUCCUUCUCCCUCCUUUAUUCACUUCAGGUUCAUUGUUUUGGAUUUUUCAAUUAUAUUUUUAUGUUUCUGGUCCUUGGAGGAGGCUGAAUAUGACAUUUUGACAGUGGAAUCUGAAAGAGCUACAAUUCUAGAUUCUGUAAAUACUUCUUGAUCAUUAAAAAAUGUCUUAGUUUUAA